RNAcentral lists this ribosomal RNA (394 nucleotides) under uncultured bacterium. Its description in RNAcentral is "partial 16S ribosomal RNA". It matches the Rfam family "Bacterial small subunit ribosomal RNA", at positions 523 to 918 of the family's 1533-position model. The record is from RNAcentral.
AUACGUAGGGGGCAAGCGUUAUCCGGAAUUAUUGGGCGUAAAGAGUGCGUAGGUGGUUACCUAAGCGCAAGGUUUAAUAUAUCGGCUUAACUGAUAUUUGCCUUGCGAACUGGGCUACUUGAGUGCAGGAGGGGAAAGCGGAAUUCCUAGUGUAGCGGGGAAAUGCGUAGAUAUUAGGAGGAACACCGGCGGCGAAGGCGGCUUUCUGGACUGUAACUGACACUGAGGCACGAAAGCGUGGGGAGCAAACAGGAUUAGAUACCCUGGUAGUCCACGCCGUAAACGAUGAGCACUAGCUGUUGGGGCCGAAUGGUCUCAGUGGCGCAGUUAACGCAAUAAGUGCUCCGCCUGGGGAGUACGCGCGCAAGCGUAAAACUCAAAGGAAUUGACGGGG